RNAcentral lists this non-coding RNA (107 nucleotides) under Microlunatus sagamiharensis. RNAcentral describes it as "Friedmanniella sagamiharensis TPP sequence". It matches the Rfam family "TPP riboswitch aptamer (THI element)". Rfam says of the family: Vitamin B(1) in its active form thiamin pyrophosphate (TPP) is an essential coenzyme that is synthesised by coupling of pyrimidine and thiazole moieties in bacteria. The previously detected thiamin-regulatory element, thi box was extended, resulting in a new, highly conserved RNA secondary structure, the THI element, which is widely distributed in eubacteria and also occurs in some archaea. The record is from Rfam by way of RNAcentral. Lineage: Bacteria; Bacillati; Actinomycetota; Actinomycetes; Propionibacteriales; Propionibacteriaceae.
CGACGACGACAGGGGAGCGCCGAGAGGGCGCUGAGAGUGCGGCAGAUCCGCAGACCCUCGAACCUGAUCCGGCUCGCACCGGCGUAGGGAGUCGAGAGCUCGCCACC